AUUCCUAAUUCUUCUGCGCAGGAGCUGCAAAACCUCCACCAGCCGAUACAGCUGGGAGGAGCUCCAUGCUAAAUGGUGAUGGAAGCAGCCAGUCAGCUGUGGCUGGACCUUCUGGAUCCUCCAGCUCCUCUAAGAGCUCCAAGUCCUCAACAAGCUCUGCCACCAAAAGAUCCAUCCAGGACUUGGAGGAGAAGUCUGAAGCUUUUAAAUCUCUGUUCACCACCCACAGCUCUGCCAAACGCUCUAAAGACCAAAUGUCCAACUGGGUCACCCACACUCCUUAUCACUUCUAACAAGCAAGUGCUCAAUGCAGAAAUACACCUGUUUGACUUGUUAAAGAAACCCUUAGCUGGGUGGUUUAUAAUUUCUUUUACAUUUGUGAAUUUCUUUACCCAGCUGAUCUUUAAUGCCAUCCCUGUUAGCUGGUUUCCAGCUUUCCUCUUCAGUCCCCAGUUUCUUUGUGUUUACAUGUUACAAACAUUUCCUACAAGCUCCCUCAGAGGAUCAGGCUGUUUUGUUUUUUUCCCUCCCUCCGCUCACUUGUGUGUCUCCAGCCACAGGCAGCUUAGGAACUGAUGCUGGGAUGAUGGUUAGAGAGCUAAAGAGAGCUAAAGGUGUUGAAGCAGUAGUGGGAGAAAGAAGCAGCAAAGCUGAUUUCACUCUUCAGAAAACAAGAAAUAUUUACUGUUUAUGAAGAAGCAAAUUAUACAUUUUCACCAACAUUUCUUUAAAAAUAUUUUUACCAUAAGAUAGGAAACAUUGUUCAUAAUUUAUCACCAAAUUUGUUAUUUAAAAAAUCUGUUUGACGGCACAAAGACAGAUUAAAACAUCUAGAUGUGUGAUGUGUUCUGGCAAUUCAAGUUUUUGUUUUCUUUCCUCUAAAUAAAAGGAAUUUAUGUUGA
Molecule: long non-coding RNA, 902 nt
Organism: Oryzias latipes (Japanese medaka)
Lineage: Eukaryota; Metazoa; Chordata; Actinopteri; Beloniformes; Adrianichthyidae
Source: RefSeq, a predicted model, not a curated record